CGCCUGUUUAACAAAAACAUGUCCUUUAGUUUAUUUAUAUAAGGUUUGACCUGCCCAAUGAAUAAUUGUUGAAUGGCCGCGGUAUUUUAACCGUGCUAAGGUAGCGUAAUCAUUUGUCUUUUAAUUAAGGGCUAGAAUGAAAGGUUGGACGAAGUAUUAACUUUCUUUGGUUUAAUUUUUUGAAUUUAAUUUCUGAGUUAAAAAGCUUAGAUUUAUUUAUAAGACGAGAAGACCCUAUAGAUCUUGACAUUAUAAAUUAAUCUUAAUAUUUAGGGAUUACUUGAUUUGGAUUGAUUAUAAUGUUUGAUUGGGGUGAUUAUAGAAUUUCAUUAACUUCUAUUUAUAAAUUUCAUUGAUUAGUGUUUUUUUGAUCCAUUUUUAUUGAUUAAAAGAUUAAGUUACCUUAGGGAUAACAGCGUAAUUUAAUCGGAGAGCUCAUAUCGAUGAUUAAGUUUGCGACCUCGAUGUUGGAUUAAAAUAAGUAAUGGGUGCAGUAGUUCAUUAACUGGGUCUGUUCGACCUUUGAAUUUUUACAUGAUCUGAGUUCAGACCGG
RNAcentral lists this ribosomal RNA (554 nucleotides) under Canthesancus gulo. RNAcentral's name for it is "partial 16S ribosomal RNA". It matches the Rfam family "Bacterial large subunit ribosomal RNA", at positions 1797 to 2619 of the family's 2925-position model. The record is from RNAcentral. Lineage: Eukaryota; Metazoa; Arthropoda; Insecta; Hemiptera; Reduviidae.